CAACUUUUAACAACGGAUCUCUGGGCUCUUGCAACGAUGAAGAACGCAGCCAAAUGCGAUACGUAAUGCGAUCUGCACGAAUCUGUGAGUCAUCGAGUCUUUGAACGCAACUUGCGCCACUUGUGGCAUGUCUGU
This 135-nucleotide ribosomal RNA is filed under the name uncultured fungus. RNAcentral describes it as "5.8S rRNA". It matches the Rfam family "5.8S ribosomal RNA". Rfam says of the family: 5.8S ribosomal RNA (5.8S rRNA) is a component of the large subunit of the eukaryotic ribosome. The record is from RNAcentral. Lineage: Eukaryota; Fungi.